GCUGAUGCGUUGUUGGGUAGGGGAGCGUUCUGUAAGCCUGCGAAGGUGGCCUGUGAGGGUUGCUGGAGGUAUCAGAAGUGCGAAUGCUGACAUAAGUAACGAUAAAGCGGGUGAAAAGCCCGCUCGCCGGAAGACCAAGGGUUCCUGUCCAACGUUAAUCGGGGCAGGGUGAGUCGACCCCUAAGGCGAGGCCGAAAGGCGUAGUCGAUGGGAAACGGGUUAAUAUUCCCGUACUUGGUGUUACUGCGAAGGGGGGACGGAGAAGGCUAUGUUGGCCGGGCGACGGUUGUCCCGGUUUAAGCAUGUAGGCGGAGGUUCCAGGUAAAUCCGGUACCUUAUUAACGCUGAGGUGUGAUGACGAGGCACUACGGUGCUGAAGCAACAAAUGCCCUGCUUCCAGGAAAAGCCUCUAAGCAUCAGGUAACAUCAAAUCGUACCCCAAACCGACACUGGUGGUCAGGUAGAGAAUACCAAGGCGCUUGAGAGAACUCGGGUGAAGGAACUAGGCAAAAUGGUGCCGUAACUUCGGGAGAAGGCACGCUGACACGUAGGUGAAGUGAUUUACUCACGGAGCUGAAGUCAGUCGAAGAUACCAGCUGGCUGCAACUGUUUAUUAAAAACACAGCACUGUGCAAACACGAAAGUGGACGUAUACGGUGUGACGCCUGCCCGGUGCCGGAAGGUUAAUUGAUGGGGUCAGCGCAAGCGAAGCUCCUGAUCGAAGCCCCGGUAAACGGCGGCCGUAACUAUAACGGUCCUAAGGUAGCGAAAUUCCUUGUCGGGUAAGUUCCGACCUGCACGAAUGGCGUAAUGAUGGCCAGGCUGUCUCCACCCGAGACUCAGUGAAAUUGAACUCGCUGUGAAGAUGCAGUGUACCCGCGGCAAGACGGAAAGACCCCGUGAACCUUUACUAUAGCUUGACACUGAACAUUGAGCCUUGAUGUGUAGGAUAGGUGGGAGGCUUUGAAGCGUGGACGCCAGUCUGCGUGGAGCCGACCUUGAAAUACCACCCUUUAAUGUUUGAUGUUCUAACGUGGACCCGUAAUCCGGGUUGCGGACAGUGUCUGGUGGGUAGUUUGACUGGGGCGGUCUCCUCCUAAAGAGUAACGGAGGAGCACGAAGGUUGGCUAAUCCUGGUCGGACAUCAGGAGGUUAGUGCAAUGGCAUAAGCCAGCUUGACUGCGAGCGUGACGGCGCGAGCAGGUGCGAAAGCAGGUCAUAGUGAUCCGGUGGUUCUGAAUGGAAGGGCCAUCGCUCAACGGAUAAAAGGUACUCCGGGGAUAACAGGCUGAUACCGCCCAAGAGUUCAUAUCGACGGCGGUGUUUGGCACCUCGAUGUCGGCUCAUCACAUCCUGGGGCUGAAGUAGGUCCCAAGGGUAUGGCUGUUCGCCAUUUAAAGUGGUACGCGAGCUGGGUUUAGAACGUCGUGAGACAGUUCGGUCCCUAUCUGCCGUGGGCGCUGGAGAACUGAGGGGGGCUGCUCCUAGUACGAGAGGACCGGAGUGGACGCAUCACUGGUGUUCGGGUUGUCAUGCCAAUGGCACUGCCCGGUAGCUAAAUGCGGAAGAGAUAAGUGCUGAAAGCAUCUAAGCACGAAACUUGCCCCGA
Molecule: ribosomal RNA, 1609 nt
Filed under: Salmonella enterica
Lineage: Bacteria; Pseudomonadati; Pseudomonadota; Gammaproteobacteria; Enterobacterales; Enterobacteriaceae
Also listed under: 1 other name
Description: partial 23S ribosomal RNA
Rfam family: Bacterial large subunit ribosomal RNA
Source: RNAcentral